RNAcentral lists this ribosomal RNA (292 nucleotides) under uncultured bacterium. RNAcentral describes it as "partial 16S ribosomal RNA". It matches the Rfam family "Bacterial small subunit ribosomal RNA", at positions 505 to 796 of the family's 1533-position model. The record is from RNAcentral.
GUGUCAGCAGCCGCGGUAAUACAGAGGGUGCGAGCGUUAAUCGGAGUUACUGGGCGUAAAGGGCGCGCAGGCGGUUGGACAAGUGGGGUGUGAAAUCCCCGGGCUUAACCCGGGAACUGCAUUCCGGACUGUCUGGCUGGAGUACUGUAGAGGGCAGUGGAAUUUCCGGUGUAGCGGUGAAAUGCGUAGAGAUCGGAAGGAACACCAGUGGCGAAGGCGGCUGCCUGGACAGAUACUGACGCUGAGGCGCGAGAGCGUGGGGAGCAAACAGGAUUAGAUACCCCGGUAGUCC